GGGCCGUUAGCUCAGUUGGUAGAGCGCAUCAUUCGCAUUGAUGAGGUCGGGGGUUCGAAUCCCCCACGGUCCA
This 73-nucleotide transfer RNA is filed under the name Candidatus Wildermuthbacteria bacterium GWA1_49_26. RNAcentral's name for it is "tRNA-Ala". It matches the Rfam family "tRNA". From Rfam's summary of the family: Transfer RNA (tRNA) molecules are approximately 80 nucleotides in length. Their secondary structure includes four short double-helical elements and three loops (D, anti-codon, and T loops). Lineage: Bacteria; Candidatus Wildermuthiibacteriota. The record is from RNAcentral. RNAcentral also lists the same sequence under 7 other names.